This 295-nucleotide long non-coding RNA is filed under the name Zostera marina. RNAcentral's name for it is "long non-coding RNA (ZMAR_LNC003310)". The record is from RNAcentral. Lineage: Eukaryota; Viridiplantae; Streptophyta; Magnoliopsida; Alismatales; Zosteraceae.
AUCAACGAAAAUGCGACUUUGGAUUUCAAAAGUGAUGGACACUUAUCUUUGUUGGUACCGAGGCCUGUCCAAGCAUAACUGCAUAUUAAAUCUUCAAUUGUAUUCUUCUGCAUAAAAAUAUAUUGGACAAUAGAGUUAAUUUAUAACCCCUCUGAUCUCUACUCUAAUCCCAUAAAAGGUCUUACUCAUUGAUUAAGCUACUCUUUAUAAUUAUUCCUAGAAGGCUUCUUUGGAUGGCUAUUACCCCACGGGACGACCGUUAUUCAGAUCGUUAUUCAGAUCUAGUAAAUCUGGU